GCCGGGCGUGGUGGCUCACACCUGUAAUCCCAGCACUUUGGGAGGCUGAGGCAGGUGGAUCACUUGAGGCCAGGAGCUCAAGACCAGCCUGGCCAACAUGGUGAAACCCUGUCUCUA
RNAcentral lists this non-coding RNA (117 nucleotides) under Homo sapiens (human). Lineage: Eukaryota; Metazoa; Chordata; Mammalia; Primates; Hominidae. The record is from Rfam by way of RNAcentral.